CGUUAGCGGCGGAUGGGUGAGUAACACGUGGGUAACCUACCUAUAAGACUGGGAUAACUCCGGGAAACCGGGGCUAAUACCGGAUAACACAUGAAACCGCAUGGUUUCAUGAUGAAAGACGGUUUUGCUGUCACUUAUAGAUGGACCCGCGGCGUAUUAGCUAGUUGGUAAGGUAACGGCUUACCAAGGCAACGAUACGUAGCCGACCUGAGAGGGUGAUCGGCCACACUGGAACUGAGACACGGUCCAG
This 250-nucleotide ribosomal RNA is filed under the name uncultured Staphylococcus sp. RNAcentral's name for it is "partial 16S ribosomal RNA". It matches the Rfam family "Bacterial small subunit ribosomal RNA", at positions 90 to 334 of the family's 1533-position model. Lineage: Bacteria; Bacillati; Bacillota; Bacilli; Caryophanales; Staphylococcaceae. The record is from RNAcentral.